Long non-coding RNA from Cygnus olor (mute swan), 138 nucleotides. RefSeq lists it as uncharacterized. The transcript is spliced from 3 exons. NCBI's taxonomy places the organism in Eukaryota, Metazoa, Chordata, Aves, Anseriformes, Anatidae. The record is from RefSeq and is a predicted model, not a curated record.
CUGAUGUCUAAUCGUUAGAUGACCAGAGUUUCUGACAAUGCAGCCACGCCUCGUUCUGGAAAUUGCAGCUGCCUCAGGGAUGAAAAGCUGGAGAUUUAGUCUGUCCAGAUUCCCUAGAGAAAUCCAAGGAGAGGAAGA